GACGAACGCUGGCGGCGUGCCUAAUACAUGCAAGUCGAACGCAGUGGGGACGGGUGAGUAACACGUGGGUAACCUCCCAUCAGAGGGGAUAACACUUGGAAACAGGUGCUAAACCGAUACUGAUGGAUGGACCCGCGUUGCAUUAGCUAGUUGGUGAGGGAACGGCUCACCAAGGCCACGAUGCAAAGGUGACAGGAGGGGGUGAGAGGCCACACUGGGACUGAGACACGGCCCAGACUCCUACGGGAGGAAGCAGGAGGGAAUCUUCGGCAAGGGAGGAAAGUCUGACCGAGCAACGCCGCGUGAGUGAAGAAGGUUGUCGGAUCGUAAAACUCUGUUGUUAGAGAAGCGGUAUCUAACCAGAAAGCCACGGCUAACUACGUGCCAGCAGCCGCGGUAAUUC
This 403-nucleotide ribosomal RNA is filed under the name uncultured bacterium. Its description in RNAcentral is "partial 16S ribosomal RNA". It matches the Rfam family "Bacterial small subunit ribosomal RNA", at positions 28 to 526 of the family's 1533-position model. The record is from RNAcentral.